AUUUAAAUUAAUAUAUAAAUUAUUUAUUUAAAUAUAAUAUUAAAUAUAUUAAUAAAAGUAUUUUUUAUUUUAGUAUACAUAUAGAAAUAAUUAUUUAAUAGUAAUAGUUUAUAGUACUGUGAGGGAAUUUAUAUUUAUUAUAAAUAAGCAUAAUUUAAUUUUAGUACCUUUUGUAUCAGGGCUUAUUAAUAUUAUAAAUAUAUAUAUUUUAUCCCGAAAUUAAAUGAUCUAUUAUAUUAGAUUUUAUAUUAUAUCAUAAAUAUAUAUAAUAAUAUAAUAGUAGUAAUAUGUUAAUUCACAUUUAAUAUAUCUGGUUAUUUAAUAAAUUAAUUUAAUUAAGACUUUGUUUAAUUUAAUAUAAACUAUAUUAUUUAUAUUAAAAAAUAAUGUUAAUGUUAUUGGGGAUAAGCUCAUUAAUAUAUCUAAAAUCAUUAUUUAAUAUAGAGUUUUGUAGGCUUAAUAGCGGUCAUCAUUUAUUUCGUUAUAGAAAUUCUCUUUAUAUAUUUUAUUUAAUAAAGAUUUAGGAAAUUAUUAAAUAUUAUUAAUUAAUAAAUUAUUAUUAGUUAUAAUGAUAGGAUUAGUAUUUAAUGAGAUAUAAUAUAGUAAUUCGGCAAAUUUUAUUUUCACCUGUUUAACAAAAACAUGUCCUUUUGUUUAUUAAUAUAAGGUCUAACCUGCUCUAUGAUUUUAUAUUAAAUGGCCGCAGUAUCUUAACUGUGCGAAGGUAGCAUAAUCAUUUGCCCCUUAAUUGGGGGCUUGUAUGAAUGGUUUGAUGAAAGAUAAUCUUUCUUUAUUAUACUUAAAAUAAUUUGAUUUAUAGGUUAAAAAGCUUAUAUUAUUUUAAAAGACGAGAAGACCCUAUAGAAUUUUAAUUAAUAUUUUAUAAAUAAUGUGUUAGUUAAUAAGAAGUUUUUAUAUAAUAUUAGUUUUUGUUGGGGCGACAGUUAAAUUUUCAUAACUUUAAUUCAUUAAUAAUUCAUUAAUUUAUGAUUAUAUUUGAUCCAUUUUUAUUGAUUAGAAGAAUAAAUUACCUUAGGGAUAACAGCGUAAUUCUAUUGGAGAGUUCAUAUUAAUAAUAGAGGUUGCGACCUCGAUGUUGGAUUAAAAUAAGUAUUAGGUGCAGAAGCUUAAUAACUAAGUCUGUUCGACUUUUAAUUUUUUACAUGAUCUGAGUUCAAACCGGCGUGAGCCAGGUUGGUUUCUAUCUUUAAUAUAAAUUUUAAAGUCUUAGUACGAAAGGACCAGGCAUUAGGAAUAUUUUUAUAUAUAUAUAUUGAAUUAUAUUAA
Molecule: ribosomal RNA, 1287 nt
Filed under: Gorpis annulatus
Lineage: Eukaryota; Metazoa; Arthropoda; Insecta; Hemiptera; Nabidae
Description: 16S ribosomal RNA
Rfam family: Archaeal large subunit ribosomal RNA (bases 1038-1196)
Source: RNAcentral